This 55-nucleotide ribosomal RNA is filed under the name Fusarium oxysporum. Its description in RNAcentral is "partial 28S ribosomal RNA". RNAcentral also lists the same sequence under 6 other names. Lineage: Eukaryota; Fungi; Ascomycota; Sordariomycetes; Hypocreales; Nectriaceae. The record is from RNAcentral.
UUGACCUCGAAUCAGGUAGGAAUACCCGCUGAACUUAAGCAUAUCAAUAAGCGGA